UACGGAGGGUGCAAGCGUUAUUCGGAAUUACUGGGCGUAAAGCGCGCGCAGGUGGCAGGGCAAGUGGCAGGCGAAAUCCCUCGGCUCAACCGAGGAACUACCUGCCAAACUGCACUGCUUGAGUCCGGGAGGGGAGAGCGGAAUUCCUGGUGUAGCGGUGAAAUGCGUAGAUACCAGGAGGAACACCGGUGGCGAAGGCGGCUCUCUGGACCGGAUCUGACGCUCAUGCGCGAAAGCGUGGGGAGCAAACAGGAUUAGAUACCCUGGUAGUCCACGCCCUAAACGAUGGGCACUAGGCGUCGCGGGUGUCGACCCCUGCGGUGCCGUAGCUAACGCGUUAAGUGCCCCGCCUGGGGAGUACGGUCGCAAGGCUGAA
Molecule: ribosomal RNA, 376 nt
Filed under: uncultured bacterium
Lineage: Bacteria
Description: bacterial SSU rRNA
Rfam family: Bacterial small subunit ribosomal RNA
Source: RNAcentral